This 365-nucleotide RNase P RNA is filed under the name bacterium K02(2017). Its description in RNAcentral is "Bacterial RNase P class A". It matches the Rfam family "Bacterial RNase P class A". From Rfam's summary of the family: Ribonuclease P (RNase P) is a ubiquitous endoribonuclease, found in archaea, bacteria and eukarya as well as chloroplasts and mitochondria. Its best characterised activity is the generation of mature 5'-ends of tRNAs by cleaving the 5'-leader elements of precursor-tRNAs. The record is from Rfam by way of RNAcentral.
UAAAAUAAACACAUGUUCGCAGUUUGAAUAGGACUUGUUCUAUUAGACUGAGGAAAGUCCGGACACCGUAGAGAACCAUAGCGGGUAACGCCCGUCCAGUUUUAGGUAACUGAGGACUAGUGUCACAGAAACCAAGUACGUUUUUAGAUUUAUCUAAAAAGCUGUAGUGAAAAGGAUAAACUCUAUGGGGUGCAAAGCCAAAUAGGUCAUGCUGAUGGCAACAUCUUAGUCGUCUCGGCUAAAAGGUUUGGGAAACCAAACAUGGCAUGAUGGGUAGGCUGCAUGAGUAAACCGGCAACGGUUAACCUAGAUGAAUGAACAUGACGAUUUUUCGACAGAAUCCGGCUUAUCGUUUAUUUCCUAAU